GGAUUGUAGGUCAGUGGUAGAGUGCUUGCCUUGCAUGCAUGAGGCACUGGGUUCGAUCCUCAGCACCA
This 68-nucleotide transfer RNA is filed under the name Marmota monax (woodchuck). Its description in RNAcentral is "tRNA.Ala". The stretch from base 5 to 65 matches the Rfam family "tRNA", at positions 6 to 65 of the family's 71-position model. Rfam says of the family: Transfer RNA (tRNA) molecules are approximately 80 nucleotides in length. Their secondary structure includes four short double-helical elements and three loops (D, anti-codon, and T loops). The record is from RNAcentral. Lineage: Eukaryota; Metazoa; Chordata; Mammalia; Rodentia; Sciuridae.